CUUUUGUAGUUUAAUUAAAACAUUAUAUUUUCAAUAUAAAAUUGCUAUCCCAAAAGAAG
RNAcentral lists this transfer RNA (59 nucleotides) under Trioza erytreae. Its description in RNAcentral is "tRNA-Glu". Lineage: Eukaryota; Metazoa; Arthropoda; Insecta; Hemiptera; Triozidae. The record is from RNAcentral.